Molecule: ribosomal RNA, 539 nt
Filed under: uncultured bacterium
Lineage: Bacteria
Description: bacterial SSU rRNA
Rfam family: Bacterial small subunit ribosomal RNA
Source: RNAcentral
AAUAGAUACCCGGGUAGUCCACGCCGUAAACGUUGGGCGCUAGAUGUGGGGACCUUUCCACGGUUUCCGUGUCGUAGCUAACGCAUUAAGCGCCCCGCCUGGGGAGUACGGCCGCAAGGCUAAAACUCAAAGGAAUUGACGGGGGCCCGCACAAGCGGCGGAGCAUGCGGAUUAAUUCGAUGCAACGCGAAGAACCUUACCAAGGCUUGACAUACACGAGAACGGGCCAGAAAUGGUCAACUCUUUGAACACUCGUGAACAGGUGGUGCAUGGUUGUCGUCAGCUCGUGUCGUGAGAUGUUGGGUUAAGUCCCGCAACGAGCGCAACCCUCGUCGCAUGUUGCCAGCACGUUAUGGUGGGGACUCAUGUGAGACUGCCGGGGUCAACUCGGAGGAAGGUGGGGAUGACGUCAAAUCAUCAUGCCCCUUAUGUCUUGGGCUUCACGCAUGCUACAAUGGCCGGUACAAAGGGCUGCGAUGUCGUAAGGCGGAGCGAAUCCCAAAAAGCCGGUCUCAGUUCGGAUUGAGGUCUGCUAACCG